RNAcentral lists this ribosomal RNA (744 nucleotides) under uncultured bacterium. Its description in RNAcentral is "bacterial SSU rRNA". It matches the Rfam family "Bacterial small subunit ribosomal RNA", at positions 8 to 796 of the family's 1533-position model. The record is from RNAcentral.
AGAGUUUGAUCCUGGCUCAGAGCGAACGCUGGCGGCAGGCUUAACACAUGCAAGUCGAACGGGCACCUUCGGGUGUCAGUGGCAGACGGGUGAGUAACACGUGGGAACGUACCCUUCGGUUCGGAAUAACUCAGGGAAACUUGAGCUAAUACCGGAUACGCCCUUUUGGGGAAAGGUUUACUGCCGAAGGAUCGGCCCGCGUCUGAUUAGCUUGUUGGUGGGGUAACGGCCUACCAAGGCGACGAUCAGUAGCUGGUCUGAGAGGAUGAUCAGCCACACUGGGACUGAGACACGGCCCAGACUCCUACGGGAGGCAGCAGUGGGGAAUAUUGGACAAUGGGCGCAAGCCUGAUCCAGCCAUGCCGCGUGAGUGAUGAAGGCCUUAGGGUUGUAAAGCUCUUUUGUCCGGGACGAUAAUGACGGUACCGGAAGAAUAAGCCCCGGCUAACUUCGUGCCAGCAGCCGCGGUAAUACGAAGGGGGCUAGCGUUGCUCGGAAUCACUGGGCGUAAAGGGCGCGUAGGCGGCCGAUUAAGUCGGGGGUGAAAGCCUGUGGCUCAACCACAGAAUUGCCUUCGAUACUGGUUGGCUUGAGACCGGAAGAGGACAGCGGAACUGCGAGUGUAGAGGUGAAAUUCGUAGAUAUUCGCAAGAACACCAGUGGCGAACGCGGCUGUCUGGUCCGGUUCUGACGCUGAGGCGCGAAAGCGUGGGGAGCAAACACGAUUAGAUACCCUGGUAGUCC